UACGUAGGGGGCAAGCGUUGUCCGGAUUUACUGGGCGUAAAGCGCGCGUAGGUGGAAGAGCAAGUCCGGCCUGAAAGCCCCCGGCUCAACCGGGGAGAGUGGCUGGAAACUGCUGUUCUUGAGGGCGAGAGAGGAGGGUGGAAUUCCUGGUGUAGCGGUGAAAUGCGUAGAGAUCAGGAGGAACACCCGUGGCGAAGGCGGCCCUCUGGCUCGACCCUGACGCUGAGGCGCGAAAGCGUGGGGAGCGAACGGG
RNAcentral lists this ribosomal RNA (253 nucleotides) under uncultured bacterium. RNAcentral's name for it is "partial 16S ribosomal RNA". It matches the Rfam family "Bacterial small subunit ribosomal RNA", at positions 524 to 776 of the family's 1533-position model. The record is from RNAcentral.